AGUGAGAGUGGAGCUACAGCGACUGGUCAGGCACUCAAGCAGGUAGAACCUUGACCUCGCCUCCCACCCCACCCCAAUCCGGCCGGGGUUCCGAGGUGCGGAGAAGCUGCCCAGGGACCGAGUCUGAGUCAAGCCGCAGGGUCCAGAUUGUGUGUUUUUGGGGUGAGCGAUAUCCCAGUAGUCCUUGAAGGGUCGAGGCUCAGAGAGGCCGCAGUGCUGUUUGGUCGCUCUGUGCGCUGGCUUGCGCUCUCUGAGGCUGGUGUGCCCUUGCAGGAGCUCCACCGCUAUGUCGAGGAUGCGUUUGGGUCCACCCACCAGGAGCGCCCGCUCCGAAGAAGGAAGCGAGAUCUUCCUGGAGGGAUCAGGUAAUUCAUGAUUCCCCAUCUCCUCCGAAGUUCCUUUUCUGUUCUCAGCUUCUUCAAGUUCCAGAGCCAGGGGUGGGAGGCCUCCCAGGAGCGCCCUCUCCUGGGGGCAGAUUCGAGCCCAAACAGGGGGAUCUUGGCCUGUGGUGGGGCCAAGCCAGGCAGUGGGAUGUCUAGGCAGACAUUGGACUUCAGGAGUGGUUUGAAUGGGGUCCAGAACAUCCAGAAGAGAGCUAGGGGAGGACCCGUGAGAUGGCUUACCUAGUAAAGGCUCUUGGCACCAAACUGACGGCCUGAGUGCCACUCGGGAACCCAGGGGGUGGGAGAAGAAAAGCAACUCCCUUGGGACCUUCCUACACU
RNAcentral lists this long non-coding RNA (722 nucleotides) under Mus musculus (house mouse). Its description in RNAcentral is "long non-coding RNA chr7:45924224-45924946". Lineage: Eukaryota; Metazoa; Chordata; Mammalia; Rodentia; Muridae. The record is from RNAcentral.